RNAcentral lists this ribosomal RNA (514 nucleotides) under uncultured bacterium. RNAcentral describes it as "partial 16S ribosomal RNA". It matches the Rfam family "Bacterial small subunit ribosomal RNA", at positions 28 to 523 of the family's 1533-position model. The record is from RNAcentral.
GAUGAACGCUGGCGGCGUGCCUAAUACAUGCAAGUCGAGCGAACAGAUGAGAAGCUUGCUUCUCUGAUGUUAGCGGCGGACGGGUGAGUAACACGUGGGUAACCUACCUAUAAGACUGGGAUAACUCCGGGAAACCGGGGCUAAUACCGGAUAAUAUUUUGAACCGCAUGGUUCAAUAGUGAAAGACGGUUUCGGCUGGUACUUAUAGAUGGAACCGCCGCGUAUUAGCUAGUUGGUAAGGUAACGGCUUAACCAGGCGACGAUACGUAGCCGACCUGAGAGGGUGAUCGGCCACACCAGAACUGAGCCACGUUCCAGACUCCUACGGGAGGCAGCAGUAGUGAAUCUUCCGCAAUGGGCGAAAGCCUGACGGAGCAACGCCGCGUGAGCGAUGAAGGUCUUCGGAUCGUAAAGCUCUGUUGUUAGGGAAGAACAAAUUUGUUAGUAACUGAACAAGUCUUGACGGUACCUAACCAGAAAGCCACGGCUAACUACGUGCCAGCCGCCGCGGUAA